RNAcentral lists this unclassified non-coding RNA (377 nucleotides) under uncultured Gammaproteobacteria bacterium. Its description in RNAcentral is "contains 16S-23S intergenic spacer region". Lineage: Bacteria; Pseudomonadati; Pseudomonadota; Gammaproteobacteria. The record is from RNAcentral.
UCGCGGCUUAUCACCGGCAGUCUCCUUAGAGUGCCCAACUGAAUGUAGCAACUAAUGACAAGGGUUGCGCUCGUUGCGGGACUUAACCCAACAUCUCACGACACGAGCUGACGACAACCAUGCAGCACCUGUGUUCCGAUUCCCUUUCGGGCACACCCAGCUCUCACCAGGCUUCCGGACAUGUCAAGGGUAGGUAAGGUUGUUCGCGUUGCAUCGAAUUAAUCCACAUCAUCCACCGCUUGUGCGGGUCCCCGUCAAUUCCUUUGAGUUUUAAUCUUGCGACCGUACUCCCCAGGCGGUCAACUUCACGCGUUAGCUGCGGUACUAGGAAAUCGCUUCCCCAACACCUAGUUGACAUCGUUUAGGGCGUGGACUAC